AAGGAGGAGCUUGCUCUUCUGGAUGAGUUGCGAACGGGUGAGUAACGCGUAGGUAACCUGCCUGGUAGCGGGGGAUAACUAUUGGGAACGAUAGCUAAUACCGCAUAAGAGUAGAUGUUGCAUGACAUUUACUUAAAAGGUGCAAUUGCAUCACUACCAGAUGGACCUGCGUUGUAUUAGCUAGUUGGUGGGGUAACGGCUCACCAAGGCGACGAUACAUAGCCGACCUGAGAGGGUGAUCGGCCACACUGGGACUGAGACACGGCCCAGACUCCUACGGGAGGCAGCAGUAGGGAAUCUUCGGCAAUGGACGGAAGUCUGACCGAGCAACGCCGCGUGAGUGAAGAAGGUUUUCGGAUCGUAAAGCUCUGUUGUAAGAGAAGAACGAGUGUGAGAGUGGAAAGUUCACACUGUGACGGUAUCUUACCAGAAAGGGACGGCUAACUACGUGCCAGCAGCCGCGGUAAUACGUAGGUCCCGAGCGUUGUCCGGAUUUAUUGGGCGUAAAGCGAGCGCAGGCGGUUAGAUAAGUCUGAAGUUAAAGGCUGUGGCUUAACCAUAGUACGCUUUGGAAACUGUUUAACUUGAGUGCAAGAGGGGAGAGUGGAAUUCCAUGUGUAGCGGUGAAAUGCGUAGAUAUAUGGAGGAACACCGGUGGCGAAAGCGGCUCU
This 671-nucleotide ribosomal RNA is filed under the name uncultured Bacilli bacterium. RNAcentral describes it as "bacterial SSU rRNA". It matches the Rfam family "Bacterial small subunit ribosomal RNA", at positions 70 to 728 of the family's 1533-position model. The record is from RNAcentral. Lineage: Bacteria; Bacillati; Bacillota; Bacilli.